GAGUGGGUGCACAAGGAAGCUACAAGAGACAUCAACACGACACCCAAAGGAAUAACUUCCAGCUCGCCGCCUUUAAGCGCCAAGGAAGAGGGAAAAAUAAAUGCCAGGAGCGAAAUUCGGGCAGAGGAGAAAACUCCGAUAAAUGUAGGAAUAGGUGAGAUUGGUAAAGAAUGAUUGGAAUAGGAGAGAUUGGUUAAGAAUGAUAAGAUGUGAAUAAGUCCGAUAAAUGUAGAAAUAGGAGAGAUUGGUAAAGAAUGAUAGGAUAUGAGAAAAGUCCGAUAAAAGUAGGAAUAGGAGAGAUUGAUAAA
Penaeus indicus is the source of this 308-nucleotide long non-coding RNA. RefSeq lists it as uncharacterized. NCBI's taxonomy places the organism in Eukaryota, Metazoa, Arthropoda, Malacostraca, Decapoda, Penaeidae. The record is from RefSeq and is a predicted model, not a curated record. The transcript has 2 exons.